AGUGAACGCUGGCGGUAGGCCUAACACAUGCAAGUCGAACGGCAGCACAGUAAGAGCUUGCUCUUACGGGUGGCGAGUGGCGGACGGGUGAGGAAUACAUCGGAAUCUACUUUUUCGUGGGGGAUAACGUAGGGAAACUUACGCUAAUACCGCAUACGACCUACGGGUGAAAGCAGUGGAUCUUCUGACCUUGCGCGAUUGAAUGAGCCGAUGUGGGAUUAGCUAGUUGGCGGGGUAAAGGCCCACCAAGGCGACGAUCCGUAGCUGGUCUGAGAGGAUGAUCAGCCAGACUGGAACUGAGACACGGUCCAGAGUCCUACGGGAGGCAGCAGUGGGGAAUAUUGGACAAUGGGCGCAAGCAUGAUACAGCAAUACCGCGUGGGUGAAGAAGGACUUCGGGUUGUAAAGACCUUUUGUUGGGAAAGAAAAGAAGCAGGUUAAUACAACGCUGUUAUGACGGUACCCAAAGAAUAAGCACCGGCUAACUUCGUG
This 492-nucleotide ribosomal RNA is filed under the name uncultured bacterium. Its description in RNAcentral is "partial 16S ribosomal RNA". It matches the Rfam family "Bacterial small subunit ribosomal RNA", at positions 29 to 507 of the family's 1533-position model. The record is from RNAcentral.